UAAGACGAACCGUCCAAACGUUAUUCGGAAUCACUGGGCUUAAAGGGUGCGUAGGCGGUCCGGCAAGUUGGGUGUGAAAGCCCUCGGCUUAACCGAGGAAUGGCGCCCAAAACUGCCGGACUUGAGGGAGACAGAGGUGAGCGGAACUUAGGGUGGAGCGGUGAAAUGCGUUGAUAUCCUAAGGAACACCAGGAGCGAAGGCGGCUCACUGGGUCUCUUCUGACGCUGAGGCACGAAAGCUAGGGGAGCGAACGGGAUUAGAUACCCCGGUAGUCCUAGCUGUAAACGAUGAGCACUGGGUUGGAGGCUCCUCCAUAGGCUUCCAGCCGGAGCGAAAGUGGUAAGUGCUCCGCCUGGGGAGUAUGGUCGCAAGGCUG
This 377-nucleotide ribosomal RNA is filed under the name uncultured bacterium. Its description in RNAcentral is "bacterial SSU rRNA". It matches the Rfam family "Bacterial small subunit ribosomal RNA", at positions 521 to 896 of the family's 1533-position model. The record is from RNAcentral.